UUACUUCCACCAUUGUAUCAAAAUUUCAUGGAAUAUAAACAUAAUUUUCUUUACAUUUUUUUCACUGUUUUCGUUUAUUGAAAUUAACUGUCUGGGGUGUGUUUUGUAUUUUCGCUUAUUUUCUCCAUAUUGUAUUCUUGUUUGUUUAUUCAUUUAGUGAAAAGUCGAAGCCUCCUUUGUCCAUGAUUUUUUAUCCUAUUCGGAGGAGUUUUCCACGUAAAAUUUGUAUUCAACCUUCUCUACAUUUUUUAUUUCGUUGUUUAUACAGGUCAAUCCCAACUGUAAAUGGGCCAAUUUACUCGGGCCCACGUCAGAACCAAAAUCCAAAAUAAAAACAAAUAAUAAAAAGUCCAUUGAAUGUCCAAGUCUAGUUUACAGGUAAAGGCCCAAACAAGUCUAGACCCAAGAAUUUAUGGCCCAGAGGCCUGAAAAAUUAAAACCCUAACAGAAACCCUAAGGACUUCUCCCACUUUGCGCCGCAGCAGUCCCAGCCUCCAUGUGCCUUCAACACCGUACGACCACGUCCGCGCCUCCGUACGCCUCACACCAAGGGUUAGCGCAUGCCCCACACUCCGUACCUGCAAACAAAUAGGACGAACGCACAGCAAAAAGAAACAUAAACAAAGAAUAUUGUAUUUUUCUUUAUUUUAUUGCUAUCAUUUAUAGCCGAAGGGAUUCGAUCAUUGUAAUUUUUUACGCGAUAUACACAUACAAAAACAUGCAAUAGAAGGCAAAAAAACAGAGAACGGUGAUUUUUUGGCUUUCGAUUUCUAUACUCCUUUUUUUUUCUUUCUUUUAAUGGUACUUAUUAAAAUCCUUCAUCAGUGCAUUUAGAAAAAUAAAAAAGGAAAAGGGAGGGGGCUUACCUUCGCAUACAAGCCAUCGGAGACCAUCUCUUCUUCGUUGAAAUCGAAGAUCGAAAUAGAUUCUCGGGGCUAAAAGAAAAAAUGACCUUCUGAGGCGAGGUUCAAAGAAGGAAAAGGGAGCGAUUCCGUGGCGAGCUACCUUCCAUCGGUUUCAAUGGUGGGACGGUGGCAGUUGAAAGGGCAAGAGAGGUUGGAAAAGCCACAAAGUUGCGGCGCCGAAACCCUAGCAAAUGGGUGUUCGGUUUUGUGGCUUGUAAAAUGGCUGAUUGCCAUUCUUUUUUUUUUUGAGAAUAAAAUGAAACGGCGCCUUUUUAAGGGGAAGGGUUCGCGCGUCAACCCGUUCCAGGACCCGAACCAGUGCCUUUGCGCUGAAAAUGGGUCAUUUGCAAUCUAAGUCCCUCCCCUUUCGCGCCGCAUUUAAAGCAGCUUAUAUUUGUGUUUCCUUUGUUUUUAAAUUUUCCCUGCAAUUUGUGCGCGUUUGCAUUUUAGUCCGUGUUUGUGUGCUGCGUUUUGAGGGCCUGGAAUAUUUCCAGCUUGAGUCCCUACAAAAUCGCGCGCAUUACAUAUUGGCCCUAUAAACUAUUUCAUUUGUAAAUUAUCCUUAUUAUUUUAAUUUGAUUUCAAUUAGUUUUUUUUUCUUAUUCG
Molecule: long non-coding RNA, 1511 nt
Filed under: Gossypium barbadense (sea-island cotton)
Lineage: Eukaryota; Viridiplantae; Streptophyta; Magnoliopsida; Malvales; Malvaceae
Description: long non-coding RNA (GBAR_LNC006051)
Source: RNAcentral